UGAAAUCUCACCAGGCCCGGACACUGGAAGGAUUGACAGAUUGAUAGCUCUUUCUUGAUUCGGUGCGUGGUGGUGCAUGGCCGUUCUUAGUUGGUUGAGUGAUUUGUCGGCUUAAUUUGACUCAACACGGGAAAUCUCACCAGGCCCGGACACUGGAAGGAUUGACAGAUUGAUAGCUCUUUCUUGUUAGCAAUAA
This 196-nucleotide ribosomal RNA is filed under the name uncultured eukaryote. RNAcentral's name for it is "partial 18S ribosomal RNA". It matches the Rfam family "Eukaryotic small subunit ribosomal RNA", at positions 1208 to 1404 of the family's 1831-position model. The record is from RNAcentral.